ACUUCAUCAUCUUCACAGAGGAACUGCAUCUGGCCUAGGAUUACCUUUCAGGCCUUUUUGUUAUCUCCUGUACUGCCACUUAGGGGGCAAAUAAGAUGGCUUUGGACAUCUUAUUUAAUACAAAUUUGUUACACACUGGAAUGGAUAGAAGAGCUGUUUUUCCUGAAACACAGUGCAUGUUCAAAUGAAGGAAAACCUCAACAUUCUAUACAUUACAUUAAUGUCAUACUGACAAUAUAACUAUUACAGGUAGGAUUCAGAGGGAAGAGUAAGCACUGUGCCUUGCCUGAUAAAAAGGGAAAGCUCAUGGCUUUCAUUCCAGAGGUCUGCUGCUUCAACUGUAACAAUGGAUUUUUUUAAAAGCAAACCAAGCUUUAAAAGGAAAACUCUUGAAAAAGCAAGGUUGAAGUGGAACACAGUUUGGUGUAAAGGAAAGGGUUGCAUUCUGAUAUAGUCUUACUCUUCCGAUCACGGGCACUCGCUUUCCAAAUGUACCCUAUUCCACAGAAGUUGUAGCUGUUGGGCAAAUAUCUUCAGGUGGACAAUGCUCAAAUAUCACCAAAGCAGAAAGGUGUUGGGGAUACCAAACAGGGCCUCCUUAAAGCUGCUUCACAGAGACACUGUACAAUGUAAGACAUAAAAUAAAAUGUACCUUUAAGAAC
Long non-coding RNA from Mauremys reevesii (Reeves's turtle), 662 nucleotides. RefSeq lists it as uncharacterized. NCBI's taxonomy places the organism in Eukaryota, Metazoa, Chordata, Testudines, Geoemydidae. The transcript is spliced from 4 exons. The record is from RefSeq and is a predicted model, not a curated record.